Molecule: ribosomal RNA, 1025 nt
Filed under: Triticum aestivum (bread wheat)
Lineage: Eukaryota; Viridiplantae; Streptophyta; Magnoliopsida; Poales; Poaceae
Description: partial small subunit ribosomal RNA
Source: RNAcentral
UGGAACAAACCUCUCACGAGGACGGAAAACAAAUAACAGUAUCGUUUCGUACCACUCUAUCCUAUAAAAGAGGAAAAAUCUUCCUUUUGGUGUUGGUAAGUCGACCACUGUACUAAUAAAAACCUUAUAUCUGGAAAAGAAGGUGUACACUAGGACAAUAAUAGACACGAAGCUACUAUACAAAUAUGAAUUGUUACCGUAAUGGCAGAUAAAAAAGAUCACAUGGUAAGUGUUAGUUCCGACGUUGAAGUCAACGUCUACCGUAUGGUACAGCAAAAGGUAGACGCGGUGUGAAUAACCAAUCAAAAUUAUAACGUAACACUAUCAGUGUAAGAAACUUACACACUGAACGGUAAGACUUACAAAAACGAUCAUAUAAUAGAGAUACGUCGUGUAAGAAUUCCCGGAGUUACUACGCUCAUAGGUAACUAAUUUCCUCGUUAUAUUGACCUUUUUAUUAAUAUACAUCAAUUCUCAGGACAAGCUUGGUUUGGAACUUGUGUAUUGAUAAUUGAGCUCCCUUUACAUUCAUGCCGCUUCCCUCAAGUAAUUAGACCGAAUGUUACUUAGAACGUUUAAUUAACGGAAAAACGUAUUCUACCAUUAUGGAUGACCUCCACCCCGUAAAUGAUCUUCCUCAGUUAACCUGUUAGUUCCACUCGCUGCCUCUAACCCUCGGUUGGAACUUGUGUUUUUACAAUAGUUUUCAUACUUCUACUAUGGAUAACCUCAACGACGAUAGCAACCCACCUCAGCUAACCUGUUAGUUCCUCUAGGUUGUCUCCACACCGUUACAGGUUCCCGCGGCUAUACUUCCACUUCGGCUAGACCUUCGUGAAUGUUCACUUGCCGCAACCUCUAACUCUAACAAAAAACUCCACACGCACUACAUUAACACGUUUCUUUUCCACACAAUGUACACACACCAGUAGCUUGGUUUUUAGUUCACAGAGGCUAGAUCGAACAACAAAUGUGCCCUCUUUAAUUAGUCGUUCUUCUAACGAUAGUUCGUACACGGUUUUGCC